Molecule: non-coding RNA, 101 nt
Organism: Callithrix jacchus (white-tufted-ear marmoset)
Lineage: Eukaryota; Metazoa; Chordata; Mammalia; Primates; Cebidae
Source: Rfam
GGCUGGUCCAGUGCAAUGGUGCUUACAACUAAUUGAUCACAACCAGUUACAGAUUUCUUUGUUUCUUUUUGACUCCCACUGCUUCACUUCGCUAGCCUUAA